Molecule: ribosomal RNA, 440 nt
Filed under: uncultured bacterium
Lineage: Bacteria
Description: partial 16S ribosomal RNA
Rfam family: Bacterial small subunit ribosomal RNA
Source: RNAcentral
CCUACGGGCGGCAGCAGUGGGGGAUAUUGCACAAUGGGGGAAACCCUGAUGCAGCGACGCCGCGUGGGUGAAGAAGCGCCUCGGCGCGUAAAGCCCUGUCAGCAGGGAAGAAAAUGACGGUACCUGAAGAAGAAGCCCCGGCUAACUACGUGCCAGCAGCCGCGGUAAUACGUAGGGGGCAAGCGUUAUCCGGAUUGACUGGGGGUAAAGGGGGCGCAGGCGGGGAUGCAAGCCAGGAGUGAAAGCCCGGGGCCGAACCCCGGGACUGCUCUUGUCACUGCGGGGCUAGAGUGCAGGAGGGGCAGGCGGAAUUCCUGGUGUAGCGGUGAAAGGCGUAGAUAUCAGGAGGAACACCGGUGGCGAAGGCGGCCUGCUGGACUGCAACUGACGUUGAGGCCCGAAAGCGUGGGGAGCAAACAGGAUUAGAUACCCCUGUAGUC